Stegodyphus dumicola is the source of this 382-nucleotide long non-coding RNA. Lineage: Eukaryota; Metazoa; Arthropoda; Arachnida; Araneae; Eresidae. The record is from RefSeq and is a predicted model, not a curated record.
CUAAACAUCCGUAGUCUCAUUCCACUGACGUUGCGCGAACGCAACACUCGCUUUUUGCACAGGCCCAAUACAAAUCACAGUUUACAGCUGCUACUGACACUGCAUGGAAAAUGAACAUUAAAGAUGAAACAGAAUCAUCAGAACAAAAAUCUGAGAAAAACAGAAAGGAAAGAAAAAGAAGCCGUUGGGAUAGCUAAUAGUAGUUGAAAAUAUUUGUUUUAAUUUCCAGAAUGGAAAUCUGAGGUGCUGAAAUCUUCAUGGAAGGAUUUGUAUUGUAUAUUUGUAAAUAUACUUUUAGUGCUAUAGUUGAUAUUUGCUAUGUGAAUAGUAAUAAUAAUUAUAAAUCAGAAAUUUGAUUUAAUAAAAUAUCUUUGACCAUCAA